RNAcentral lists this ribosomal RNA (449 nucleotides) under Escherichia coli. Its description in RNAcentral is "bacterial SSU rRNA". It matches the Rfam family "Bacterial small subunit ribosomal RNA", at positions 30 to 473 of the family's 1533-position model. Lineage: Bacteria; Pseudomonadati; Pseudomonadota; Gammaproteobacteria; Enterobacterales; Enterobacteriaceae. The record is from RNAcentral.
AUUGAACGCUGGCGGCAGGCCUAACACAUGCAAGUCGAACGGUAACAGGAAACAGCUUGCUGUUUCGCUGACGAGUGGCGGACGGGUGAGUAAUGUCUGGGAAACUGCCCGAUGGAGGGGGAUAACUACUGGAAACGGUAGCUAAUACCGCAUAACGUCGCAAGACCAAAGAGGGGGACCUUCGGGCCUCUUGCCAUCGGAUGUGCUCAGAUGGGAUUAGCUAGUAGGUGGGGUAACGGCUCACCUAGGCGACGAUCCCUAGCUGGUCUGAGAGGAUGACCAGCCACACUGGAACUGAGACACGGUCCAGACUCCUACGGGAGGCAGCAGUGGGGAAUAUUGCACAAUGGGCGCAAGCCUGAUGCAGCCAUGCCGCGUGUAUGAAGAAGGCCUUCGGGUUGUAAAGUACUUUCAGCGGGGAGGAAGGGAGUAAAGUUAAUACCUUUGCU